RNAcentral lists this ribosomal RNA (1211 nucleotides) under bacterium. Its description in RNAcentral is "partial 23S ribosomal RNA". The stretch from base 1 to 448 matches the Rfam family "Bacterial large subunit ribosomal RNA", at positions 1956 to 2925 of the family's 2925-position model. The record is from RNAcentral.
GAGCGAAAUUCCUUGGCCAUUAACUGUGGUCCUGCAUGAAUGAGGUAACGUGGCCCUGCUGUCUCCACAAGCAUCUCAGUGAAAUUGAAUUAGCCGUGCAGAUGCGGUUUACCUUCAGAUAGACGGGAAGACCCUAUGCAGCUUUACUGUAGUUUGAUAGUAUCAUACGGUCAGUUUAACUGGGACGGUAGCCUCUAAUAAAGUAUCAGAGGCCUUCAAAGGUAUGCAUAAAUUGGUCAGAAACCAAUAAAUCUAUGAAAAGUUUAAUAAAGUGUAAUGAUAGAAGCAUGCUUUACUGAAAGACUGACAAGUCAAUCAGUUACGCAAGUAGGACAUAGUGAUCCGGUGGUUCGAUAUGGAACGGCCAUCGCUCAAGGAAUAAAAGUUACGCUAGGGAUUAAAUAAACCUAGUCCCACUAAUAUUUUAUUAGUAAAAUAAUCAGGUGAAUUGCAAAAAUACUAAGUAAUAUAUAAUAAUAAUUACAUAGUUAAUUUGCAGCGAAACUAAAAAAUAAUAAUUUAAUUUUUAGAACGUUCAACGACUACAAAAUAAACAAUUUUGCAAGAGUGCCUGACAUAUUUUAAUAUAUUCAGUAAUUUAAAUAAUAUAUAUUUAUUGUAUAUAAUAAUUAUAUGAAGACAUAGUCUAAACAUUAAUGUAAAUUAAUGAUACAAAAUUAAAUUUUUUUGUAAAUAAAUAAUUUUGAACAGGUUUAUCGUUUGCGAGAGUUCAUAUUGUCCAAACGGUUUGACACCUCGAUUAAAACAGUCAUAGUCGAGAAUAAAUUGGGUUAAUUGCAAGAAAAUCUUUAUAAUUAUGAAUAAAUCUUAAAUUAAAGAUAAUUUGCAACCAAACUUAGGAAAGUAUAAAAAAAAAGGUACUAAGAAGGUUAAACGACUAGUAAGUGAGUAAUACUAACAAUAAUCUUACCACGAAUGCCCAACAAGUAAAAUUAUUACAUAAAUAAUUAUAUUUAUUAAUUUAUUGUAUAAUUACUUGAUAACAUAGUCUAAUACUGUAAGUAAUUACAGUCUAGUAAGUAUAAAUAACUUACUUUACUUUAAUAUUACUGUUUAUAUAUUCGAACUUAUUUAUUUCGUUUAUUUACAUUUAAUAUUAAUAAAAAUGGUCGACUCAUCUCAUCCUCCAGGUGUAGUAGCUUGGAAGGGUUCAACUGUUCGCUGAUUAAAGAGGUACGCGAGUUGGGUUC